GACGAACGCUGGCGGCGUGCUUAACACAUGCAAGUCGAACGGUGAAGCGAGUGCUUGCACUCGUGGAUCAGUGGCGAACGGGUGAGUAACACGUGAGUAACCUGCCCAUCACUCUGGGAUAAGCACUGGAAACGGUGUCUAAUACUGGAUACGACCAACCCUUGCAUGGGGUGUUGGUGGAAAGAUUUAUCGGUGAUGGAUGGACUCGCGGCCUAUCAGCUUGUUGGCGGGGUAAUGCCCACCAAGGCGACGACGGGUAGCCGGCCUGAGAGGGUGACCGGCCGCACUGGGACUGAGACACGGCCCAGACUCCUACGGGAGGCAGCAGUGGGGAAUAUUGCACAAUGGGCGAAAGCCUGAUGCAGCGACGCCGCGUGAGGGAUGACGGCCUUCGGGUUGUAAACCUCUUUCAGCAGGGAAGAAGCGAAAGUGACGGUACCUGCAGAAGAAGCACCGGCUAACUACGUG
RNAcentral lists this ribosomal RNA (468 nucleotides) under uncultured bacterium. RNAcentral's name for it is "partial 16S ribosomal RNA". It matches the Rfam family "Bacterial small subunit ribosomal RNA", at positions 28 to 507 of the family's 1533-position model. The record is from RNAcentral.